Vespa mandarinia (Asian giant hornet) is the source of this 305-nucleotide long non-coding RNA. The record is from RefSeq and is a predicted model, not a curated record. NCBI's taxonomy places the organism in Eukaryota, Metazoa, Arthropoda, Insecta, Hymenoptera, Vespidae.
ACGUGCUACUACGACGUGCUACUUUUACGUGCUACUACUACAUACUACUACUACUAUUACAUCCGUACUACAUCAUGGUGUUGACACGCAAAGAGUUUUAAGGGGCUUCCCGUGUGUCGUUGAACGCGAGAAUGGAAAGGUUUCUACGACGGAAGAGUACACGCUUGAAAAGAGACAGCACAGGUAUCCUUUGAAAUGUAUUAGUCCGAUUAGGUUCUAAUCGUUACACGUAUACACCGUGUGUAUCGUGUUUAGAGGAAUGCCUAGUUUCAUUGAACAGAUUCUUCUGCGUGAAUGAUCUAAAA